GCAGGCUCUGCUUUUCUCCUUUACAGCAUCUGCUUUCUCAUAGGUGCCCAUGGUCUUAAUCAUGCUGACAAGACUAAAGCUUUGUUCCUGGUAUAUAAUCCCAGAAAGGAAGAGAGGAAACAACAUUACUUCACAUUGCACACUGACCAGCACAUCUACAGGCAGGCCGACAAAAAGACUGAAGGUAGAUACUGAAGAAGAUUGUAUGUUGCAGGGACUGGAAAGCUUAUUGGACUGGGAUGGAACUUCCUUUCAGUUCUCCACUGUGAGAAGACGAGCUCAGAAUUGGCAUCUGCUGACUUUGUUUUUAUUGUGAGGUAGGAUGAUGAACAGUUUGAAAGAGGCUUUCAACUUUUGCACAGAUCUGUGUGGGCUGGGCAGCCUGUUUCCUCUUGCAGGAUUUGCAUUAGUGUAAACAGUGACAUCAUGUUACUUAUGUCCUUUGGUUCAUGAUGAGGUUCCACAGAGAGCCUUCCUCCACUACUUUCAAUUUUCAGGAUCAGCAUUUACUACAGCCCUUCCUGGUUCUCUUAUGUUGCAACCUUAGCAGUUGGCAGUGUGAACUAUAGCCUUCAUUGCUCACCACCUUGCAGGCAAUGUCUGGCUAUGAGAUCUUCUCACAUUACUUCUUCCAUAUGAGAUUUUACGGUAAAAAGACCAGGCUAACCAAAGGAGAGCAAGUGAUGGCCUGCAGUGAGUUACACAUUCAGUAUUGUUGCCCAAAGGCCAAGACUGUUGAAGAAAAACAGCUGUAACUGCAUCUGGCCUAUGAGGCUCCAGUGCUGAGCAGUAAGCAGUAAGUAAGCCUUCUAACAGGACUUUAAUUCAAAGGAGCCUCACUGAAAGGUAUCCUGUUGUCAGAUGCAAGAGCCUAAAGUAGUCUCAUCAGGCAUGUUUUCUUUGCAUGGCAUUGUGUAAAUCAUUUUGCCUUAUACCUCUAUUUCCCCUUCUGUAAAAUAUAAAGUAUUGAUGCAUUUACAGCAUCAGUAAUUGCAGCACUGUAAGAGUUAAUUAAUGUGCCUAUUUAUAUAAGCAUAUUAGACUGUGGCACAUACACAGUUUCAUGCAUUUUUUUUUCUGAUAAUUAGAUCAGAUACAUGAUUUAUUCAGCUCUCUAGAGAUUUAAUUAUCUUUCACAUGAGCUCUAUAUCUUAGUUUUGUAGCACAGUAAAGGUGAUGUUUUAUUUUUCUGCAACUCAUUUACAAAGAUAUACUUUUCAUAGCGGUAGUACCUUACAAAACUCCGUGUGCUAAACUGUAACAUAAGACAGCUAGCUACUCAGUUAAAUUCUUUCAAGCCAAAUACAGUUUCUGUCUUUCGGAAGAGAGAAGGGGAGGAAGGGGGAUUCUUACACUAAUAGUUUUUCCAUUUGUACUGGAACAUUCUUAUGCAGAAGCCAGACCUCUAAGCACUAUUUUUUGAUAAAAUCUGUCAGUCACUGCAAUUGUUUUUUACCUGCACAGUAGUAUGUGAAGUCCUAUAAAGCUUCGGUGAUUACAUGUAGUGCAAAUGGUAGACUAACUACUAUAAUAAACAUGUUUGUUCACUAAGGCUACUGAAAGA
Molecule: long non-coding RNA, 1564 nt
Organism: Nothoprocta perdicaria
Lineage: Eukaryota; Metazoa; Chordata; Aves; Tinamiformes; Tinamidae
Exons: 3
Source: RefSeq, a predicted model, not a curated record